This 304-nucleotide ribosomal RNA is filed under the name uncultured bacterium. Its description in RNAcentral is "partial 16S ribosomal RNA". It matches the Rfam family "Bacterial small subunit ribosomal RNA", at positions 506 to 807 of the family's 1533-position model. The record is from RNAcentral.
CAGCAGUAGCCGCGGUAAUACAGAGGGUGCGAGCGUUAAUCGGAUUUACUGGGCGUAAAGCGUGCGUAGGCGGCUUUUUAAGUCGGAUGUGAAAUCCCUGAGCUUAACUUAGGAAUUGCAUUCGAUACUGGGAAGCUAGAGUAUGGGAGAGGAUGGUAGAAUUCCAGGUGUAGCGGUGAAAUGCGUAGAGAUCUGGAGGAAUACCGAUGGCGAAGGCAGCCAUCUGGCCUAAUACUGACGCUGAGGUACGAAAGCAUGGGGAGCAAACAGGAUUAGAGACCCCCGUAGUCCCUGUCUCUUAUAC